UACGGGGGGUGCAAGCGUUAUUCGGAAUUAUUGGGCGUAAAGGGCGGGUGUGCGGUUGAAUAAGUCAGAUGUGAAAGCCCUUGGCUUAACCAAGGAAGUGCGUUUGAUACUAGUUGACCUGAGUAUGGGAGAGGGAAGUGGAAUUCCUGGUGGAGAGGUGAAAUUCGUAGAUAUCAGGAGGAACACCGGUGGCGAAAGCGACUUUCUGGACCAAUACUGACGCUGAGGUGCGAAGGCGUUGGGAGCAAACAGG
This 253-nucleotide ribosomal RNA is filed under the name uncultured bacterium. RNAcentral describes it as "partial 16S ribosomal RNA". It matches the Rfam family "Bacterial small subunit ribosomal RNA", at positions 524 to 776 of the family's 1533-position model. The record is from RNAcentral.